This 71-nucleotide transfer RNA is filed under the name uncultured Selenomonas sp. It matches the Rfam family "tRNA". Rfam says of the family: Transfer RNA (tRNA) molecules are approximately 80 nucleotides in length. The record is from RNAcentral. Lineage: Bacteria; Bacillati; Bacillota; Negativicutes; Selenomonadales; Selenomonadaceae.
GGGACGUAGCUCAGCUGGGAGAGCACCAGGUUCGCAAUCUGGGGAUCGAGGGUUCAAACCCCUUCGUCUCC